RNAcentral lists this ribosomal RNA (274 nucleotides) under uncultured bacterium. RNAcentral describes it as "partial 16S ribosomal RNA". It matches the Rfam family "Bacterial small subunit ribosomal RNA", at positions 523 to 796 of the family's 1533-position model. The record is from RNAcentral.
AUACGGAGGGUGCAAGCGUUAUUCGGAAUCACUGGGCGUAAAGGACGCGUAGGCGGGUUGGCAAGUCAGAUGUGAAAUCCUACAGCUUAACUGUAGAACUGCAUUUGAAACUGCUAACCUAGAGUAUGGGAGGGGGAGAUGGAAUUAGUGGUGUAGGGGUAAAAUCCGUAGAUAUCACUAGGUAUACCGAAAGCGAAGGCGAUCUCCUGGAACAUAACUGACGCUAAGGCGUGAAAGCGUGGGGAGCAAACAGGAUUAGAAACCCGAGUAGUCC